GACGAACGCUGGCGGCGUGCUUAACACAUGCAAGUCGAACGGAAAGGCCCUGCUUGCAGGGUACUCGAGUGGCGAACGGGUGAGUAACACGUGGGUGAUCUGCCCUGCACUUCGGGAUAAGCCUGGGAAACUGGGUCUAAUACCGGAUAGGAGCCAUUUUUAGUGUGAUGGUUGGAAAGUUUUUUCGGUGUAGGAUGAGCUCGCGGCCUAUCAGCUUGUUGGUGGGGUAAUGGCCUACCAAGGCGGCGACGGGUAGCCGGCCUGAGAGGGUGGACGGCCACAUUAGGACUGAGAUACGGCCCAGACUCCUACGAGGGGCAGCAGUGGGGAAUAUUGCACAAUGGGCGGAAGACUGAUGCAGCAACGCCGCGUGCGGGAUGACGGCCUUCGGGUUGUAAACCGCUUUCGCCUGUGACGAAGCGUGAGUGACGGUAAUGGGUAAAGAAGCACCGGCUAACUACGUG
RNAcentral lists this ribosomal RNA (464 nucleotides) under uncultured bacterium. Its description in RNAcentral is "partial 16S ribosomal RNA". It matches the Rfam family "Bacterial small subunit ribosomal RNA", at positions 28 to 507 of the family's 1533-position model. The record is from RNAcentral.